GUUCUUGUUGUUCUUGUGUUUGACUAUAGUCAUGUUUUAGAGAGAAAAUUGCCGCAUUUGCUUGGAUUUCUAAUCUUAGAAGACUGUUCCCUUCCAAAGGUGUAGAAAUCUUACAUUUUUUCUUAACAGCUCCCUGCAGCUCCUGUGUUCAUUGUCAGUGAACAAAAAUGGAGGAUUUCUAGUUGAGUUCUAAACAUACAAGACUCCAGUCUGCUAACUGUGCCAAAAUUGAAACUGAAUAAGCAAAUGAAAUUGCUUUGACAUCUACAAUACUGGAAACAUUAUGCUUUUCAAAUCCAAACUGAAGGAGCAUCUGUGAGGGUUCCUACUCUGAAAAGCUAGAAGUCUCCUUGGGAAAAAAAAAAAAAAAAAAAAGGCUGUGGCACCGUAAACACUCAAGGAAGACAGCAGGCAUGUGGCUACUCAAUGAGCAGUGCAGAAAGCAGUCUGGGUACAGGUACUGUGCUGUCUCCUCCCCUGUCUUGGCAAAAGGCUUAUACUCUGCUGUUUCUCACUUGUUUCCAAGUCAUACUGGAAGUGUUUUUAAUACAAUUAAACUGAAGGAAGAAAGAAGAAAUGAAGAGGGAAAGCACCAACUCAAAUAUUUGAGUUGAUUUGUUAAAAUAAUAUUAUGUGGUGGUGAGACAAUAUUGAUAAACUUUGUCCUGAUAUAAAUCUAUAUUUAGUGUCAUUUUGUUUGGUUGCAUUAUAGAGUGUAAGUAUUUAUUUGAGUUUGUGUGAAGAAUUCAUUUGAGUUUAUGUGCAGUUAGAAAAAAAUACUAUUAUUAUAAUUAAAGAACAUAUCAGGUUUUCUAUAUUUCUGGUUAAUGAUCCACUUGCUUUGAUAUGAUACUGCCCUGUGUUUUGUGUCUGGUUAUUGACAUAAAGAUUCUUACUAUAUAUUUCUGCAAAGGAAUUUUAGCAUAGAAAUGUCCUUGGAAAAAGAUUUGUGCUAACAAAGCCAGCAGUUUUAAUUUUGGAAAAGCAUAGCACAGUUUGUGGCAUCUCAGGGAGUGAUGUUUUCAAACACACAGAAUAAAAGUUUCCUAUUCUUCAUCUAUUUCAGUAGAGACUAUAGAGGUUUGCUCAAAUCCUAAUACAGCAUUAGGCAGUAAUAUGGCAGUCUCUGCAUAUUAACUAAGUUUUAUUAUUAACUUUUAGUUCAUUAAAAAAAAAAAAAAAAAGGAAAGAAAAGAGUUGCUAAUGCCAAUGUAGUUGUGUUGGAAAGAAAGGAGCAAAUGACUGUGAAAUUCUGGAAAUAAACUCAAGAUUUUUCCUUAAUGUUCACAAGUUUCAGAGAGUACUCAAGCUCAUUAACUUUCUUUUUUUGAACCUAGAAUCAAAUGGCUUGUGCAGAAAGGGGCACUUAGAUGAUAUAAUUUAGAUAUGUAAAAUCUGAUAAUUUUCUUCCUCACUAGUUCAUUUCCACUUAGGGCUCAGUAAAAGUAGAACUGCCUAUCAAAUAUUCAUUGUACACUGAACAAUUCUAUUUUUUGCUGAUGCUUAAGCAAAAUUGAUUGAGCAAGGAAGAUAAAUAUUCCUUUCUUAAUGCAAUUGGCUUGCUUCACCCUCUCCAAAAUAAUAUCAGGGCUUCCAGAUUGAAAGCACCAAAUUCAUAACGAGAAAGAGAUUCUAGUUUCAUAAUAUAGCUAACAUAACACCUUCAUUGCAUAUAUAUAUAUACAUAUGUUAGUAUUUUAAGUUGAUAGUAGUUAAUGAGAAGACUCUGAGACUUUCCUUCUAAAUUAAAUAUGCUAGUAGUCAGUAAUAGCCAUUGGGAUAGCAGAACAAUUUUCUUAUGAGACAAAAAUAUUUUUUUCUUGAACAAACCUUGUUGCUGCCUUGUCUAAGGGAAAAAAAAUAACAUUAGAGCCACAUAAGCAGCAUCAAAUAUGAUCAACAAUGAAAUACAUUAACGCAUAUGAUUUUAACCCUCAUAGAGAAGAACUGCAGAUUAAUUAGCAUCUAAUUAAAGAUUUUUUCUCUUUAAAUCUGGAAAUUGCUUUCCUCUCCUUGUCAUCUAAUUUGGGGUCCAGAUAAUGUCAAUUGCCUUAAGCCAAUGUUGUGAGCUGUGCUGGGCUGCCUGCCUUGAGAAUCCACCCUUUUCCCUCAGUAUUUUUAUGCCUUUAGCUAUCCAGUUUGUUUCUUUGAUCACUUUGUUCUCUCUUUGCUUUCUGUCCAGUAAAUGUCUGCUUUAGCUGUGUGAACAAAUGGGACUUCCUGAUGUAUUCUACCCGUGCAGGAGAAGACCCCCCUGCCUGCAGUCCUCUGGAGUGUUUGAAUAUAGUGAUAUUGAUCUGAUAACCUUCAGUACUAACCAUUUAAGAUGUUCUUUUUCGCCUGUUAUAGAAGAACAGUCUGUAGGAAGGUAUUUAUUUCUCUUUUAAAUAUUUCUCUUUUAAAUAUUUCUCUUAUAAAUUUCAACCACCUAUGUCUCUACAAAACAAAUCUCACAGGGAGUGAAUGAAUAUGCGUAGUUAACAAUUCAUGUUAUAGAAAUCAUAAAGUUUAUUCCUUAAAUGCUAUUACUGACUACUAGCAUAUUUAAAUUAGAAGGAAAGUCUUAGGGAAUUUUAUGUGAGUGAUAUUAGAUAAGAGGGACAUUUAAUGUAAGGAGAAUAAUGGAAUUACAGGUGUGGGUCAAGAAUUAAAAAAUAAAAAUAGAGUAAGAUUGACUUUUGAUUGGGAAUAGGCAAUAUUUAGUGGACUCUCUGUAUUUUAAAGUGACACUAAUAAGGAACAACAGUUGUUGUUCCUGAAUUUGCAUUCAGAAAUUAUCUACUACAAAAAUAUUAACUGCUGAGUUUAAUUUGCAGUGUAAAAUAAAAUUUGAAGCAUACAAUUUCUGAAUGUUCCACCCAGUAUAAUAGAUUUAUUUAACUCAUUCCAGACACAUUGCUAGAACUUGCAAUAGACACAAACUGAUGUGUUGCACUACAUUCAAUAAUCCCCAUAUGAAUGCUUAAAUGAAAUAAUGCAUAAAAAUGCCUAUGAUUUUUAAGACUGUACAUACAUAGCAAGGUUUUCAGAAAAUGAAUUAGCAAGAAGAACAAUUAUAAUUUUUAAAAUGUCAUGAAAUAGACAAAUGCUGAUUUCCUCAGUGAGAUUUGAAAUAUACUCCCAACAUCAUGAAAGUGAAGACAGAAAAUUAAGUUAUUUUAAAUGAAAUUGGUUUUAACAUUCAUAUUUACCAUAUUAUUGGGAAGUCUGAACCUCUUUGUAAAAGGAGAAUGACAUGUAACAAAAUUUGAAAGAUGGGAUUAACAGAGACGGUUCAUAUUUGACAAUGCAGGAUUUAAGAAAAGGGAGUUUUAAUUUAAAACAUACCUUCAAAAGCAGACAGAAUUAUGGUGCUGGACUAUACUUAAAUAACAUACUAGUUUUGCUUAUAAAAUAGAUGCAAGAAAUGUAGGAAAAUGAUCUUUCAGAGUUAAUGAUGGUAACAAUCGUUUAGUAAUGAAAUAAAUAGUAGGAGAGCCCAGUAUGAAGCUGUUGACAAAACAAGAACAUAAGACUGGAAGGGACUUUUCAAAUUGUCAGCUUCAUUUCUUCUUUAGAUAAAGCAUCAUCUCAUCUAUAUAUAUAUACAUACAUAUUUCUUAACAUCUUAACAUGAUCCUAGCUAAUCAGUGCUUUUUCCAUUCCCUGUUUCCAUCUUCUAUUUUUUCUGCAACAAUGCCACACUUCUGUAACUGAUUUAAAGCCUCUUCCUAUCUCAUUUUGAGUAGAGACCUAAAACUUCAAGUCACAGCUUUUAUCAGCCUCCUCUAUAAUCAAAUCUAUCAUAAUCUAGUAGUAAUUCACUAAUAAAUCCUUGAGAUAGUCAAAUGUUUCCUUUUCACCUAGUCUCCAAAAUGCAACAGAAUAUAAUCUGCAAAGUUGAAUAUAUUUGGAAAUAAUAACCUUGGUUUCAUUUUAUUCAAGUGCUGUUUCUUUGGAUAAUGGAUGGUAUUUAUUCAAAAAGGAUUUCCAAAUCAACACAUUGGAUGCUCUUACCUGAUGAUCACAACCAAUUUUGUCAAUAAUUGGUAAUAUUGAUAAACAGUUUUGCAAGGCUCUAAAUGGUUAAUAAAAUAUGUAUAAUGUCGACUCCAAAUAUAGCUUCUGUAACAAUAGUGAUUCUUGUGCAACUCACUAGAGCAAUUUUGUAGAGCCAAAAAUGUCCUUUCUGAAUUUCUGUUGUCAAAGAGGAACAUGUGAAAAACAAAUUACAUAUCAGUAUGAUGUCUCAUGGAAUAUGGAAUGAGUGCAUAACAUUCUGUUCAGCUUACAUAGGUGGAUCAAAUAAUCAUCUCUGCCAGUCUUUGAGGGAACUUGCUAUAUAAUACAGCCAGUGCACCAGUUACUCUGUAUAGAGCUGUCAGUGUUCACUACUUGUUCAGAUAGUACACUUGGUCAAAGAAAAGAUGUCUACAGGGAACUCUUGACUUCAUUGAUCUUUUUCUCAGGGUCUUACUGUUUUCAUUUGAUUGUUCGUUUGUUUGUUUUUACCUAUUUACUCCUAAUAUGUAAAAAUUAUCAUUCAUCCUACAAAUAUACAUAAAAAGAAGCCACCAAAAAAAAAUCUUGCAUCAGUAUUCUCACUUUGUAAACACUAAAGAUUUUGUAAACAGUACUAAAAUAUAAAUAGAUAUUUAAAUAGAGGUCAUUGUCCUUCAUUUUUCUAAACAAAGCUUUGAAAUACUCAAAAAAUUAGAUAUGCAGCUACUCAGAGAGCACAGAAUCACAGUAUCAUGGAAUUGAAGGGGUUGGAAGGGACCUUGAAAGAUCAUCGAGUCCAAGCCCCCUGCCAAAGCAGAUUGAUAUAAUACUGGUAAUACUCUAAUCUUUACAUCUCAGAUUCCUUUCCCUCUUGUAUUCAAUUUAUUUAAUUGAAUUUUUGAAAUUUGAAAAAAUUCUAUUUAUUCAAAGGUAAACUAUGCUAACAGUAGAAAAUGAUAAAUCAAAUCCAUCUCUUCUAUGCCAGCCCCAGGGUACCAAGUUUCAAAUUGCACUCUUAUUUCUAUUCUCUAAUAGAAGAGCUAACAAAAAUUCCAGCCAAAGAUCAGCUCUGAAAUGUGGAAUUGUGAAUUUGAAAUAUAUAUCUUGAACUGUCUCCUGCAUGGAGCAGCCUUAUAUCUCCUAUUUUAUUGCCUGUGAUAAAGGAUAGAUUUAGUAUUUUAUUUUAUUUUAUUUUAUUUUAUUUUAUUUUAUUUUAUUUUAUUUUAUUUUAUUUUAUUUUAUUAGCAAUGGGAAGAUAACAUUAUAUAAUACCUUCUAACACUCUCAGUGACUAACAUGAUCAAUUAGAUGAACCAUGGCAGAACUGAUAAAUACUCCUGGGAAAUGGAAACAGUUGAAAAACAACAAUGAGAAUUUUGUAAUUGCAUAAAAUUUUGAAUGGAAAAAAAUGACAUGAUUUCAUACAUCUCCUUUUCUUGAUAUUUCUUUGAUAAUUCUUAUAUUUACCAAUGUUUCUUUCACCCCUUCCACCCUUUUUCAACUAUUCCAUCUUUAUUUUAGACACUUUCUCCUUUGUUACCAUUCCUUUUCCCUUUCCUGUUUCCUUUUCUCCUUCUCACAUCUUUUUUUUUUUUUUUAUGUUCUCCAACUUCAUUUUCAAUGCUUCCCUUCUCUCGUGUACUUCUCUCACGUGUACUUUUCUUUUGAAAUGUUACACUGCCUAUUUUAUUCUUCAGCUUUAUCCUGUUCUUGUUUACACUGUCCUUUCUACUUGUCCCUUCAGUGAGAAAAAAUUACAUUAAAACAAAUGCUGAUCAUAUUAAUAUUUGUCUAACUGGAUUUGAACUGUGACCCUUCUCUCUAUUUUCAUUUGUUAAAUAAAACCCAUGAUACCACAUUUUGCAAGUCCUAUGCAUAACCUUGCAGAAUAUGGGUCUGCAUUAUUAAUGACUUUUUGAGCAAAAUAAGUAUGUGUUCACGUAGAUUACUUGCUAAUUAUGCUUGAAGCUAGCAAAGUAACUUAAAAAAAUCUCAUAAACUGCUUUUAGAUUUUUUUUAUAUAUUUUUUUUACGAUAAAAACUCCUAAAGCUUUAUUUUCAAGACAGCACAAGGACACUGAAAGUUCAAAAGAACUUGUUUAUAUAAGAUAAGGAGACAAACAGAACAGUGAUGAUAUAUUUUUUAAGGCAUUAGAAUGAUGAAUAAGACUCAUAAUACUUUCAUAUUUAUAACAAGUUUUAAUUUGGAACCAGAAUGAAAAAUAUUAACAUAUCCUAUAUAAUCAACAGUUGUACUAGUGGAAAAAACAAACUAACUAACAAACAAACAAAGAAACUUUUUGGCUACGGUUUUUACUUUGCCAGUACUUCAGUGACAGAACUUUCUUAAGGUGUCCUCCCCCAAUAAUUCCCAGCUAUUCUUUCUUGUCUCAUAAACUACUGCGUCCCUGUCUAGAAGACUCUAAGCUCUUCAGAAAACAUUUAUGAACUGUUGGAAAUAAAAAGUAAGUAGAUCAGAUUGAUUAUAAGGAGACUUGUGACAGAAAUCUUCAGCUGCAAAACUGAAUAUGUGCUGGGGAAAACAAAACAAAACAAAAACAAAAAUAACCUUCUGGGUUCUAUAGAGAGCAGGAACAAAGCUGUCAAAGCACAGGAAAAAUAAAAUGCUGUUCACAAAAGACUAUUGGAAUCAGGCACACCCAGAAAUAUCUCCAAAUGCCCUAAUCCCUUUUUACCUUUGCAGCCAUGAUAUCUUAGUGUACUUUAGAGAAAAUAUAGACUAUCACUAUGAACCUACAGCUCGAGAAACUUGUAUGCGGAACAUCAAUCCCUGAUUGCUUCUAUUGCAGUUGUUGCUAAGUGCUAUGUUCCCUUAACUUUAUUAUUCAGGAAAGGUCUGUUUGGAACAGGCUGCCCAGGGAAGUGGUGCAGUCACCAUCCCUGGAGGUCUUUAAAAGACGUUUAGAUGUAGAGUUUAGGAAUAUGGUUUAGUAGGGACUGUUACUGUUAGGUCAGAGGUUGGACUCAAUGAUCUUGAGGUCUCUUCCAACCUUGAAGUUCUGUGAUUCUGUGAUUCUGUGAUAUAUAUACACAAAAAUACUAAAUUGAAGCCACAGAAAGACUUGAAGCACGGUUUAGAAUCAUAGAGUCAUAGAAUGAUUUAGGUUGGAAGGGACCUUAAAGAUCAUCUAAUUCCAAUCCCCAUGCCAUAGGUAGAGACACCUUCCACUGUACCAGGUUGCUCAAAGCCCCAUCCCACCUGGCCUUGAACUCUUCCAUGGAAGGGGCAUCCACAGCUUCUCUGUUUGAGUGUCUCACCACAGUACUCCAGGUGAGGUCUCACGAGAGCAAAGUAGAGGAGUAGAAUCAUCACCCUUGACCUGCUGACCUUACUUCUUCUGAUGCAGCCAAGGAUAGCUUUCUGUGUUGCACAUUGCCAGUUCAUGUUGAGCUUCUUGUCAAUCAAAACCCCUAAGUCCUCAUCAGAGCUGCUCUUGCACUUGGCCUUGCUCAAUUUCAUGAGGUUCACACAGGCCCGCCUCUCAAACCUGUCAAGGUCCCUCUGGAAAGCAUCCCUUCCCUCCAGCAUGUUGACCACACCACACAGCUUGGUAUCAUCAGCAAAUUUCCUAAGGAUGCGCUUGAUCCCACUGUUCGUGUCACCAACAAGAUGUUAAACGGUACUGUUCCUGAUACCAGCUCCUGAGGAACACCACUGUUGUCUGCUUGGACAUUAUAGUCUGUUGAUCACAACACUUUGACUGCGACCAUCCAGCCAAUACCUUGCUCACCAAGAAGUCCAUUUAUCAAACCCAUACCUCUCCAAUUUAGAGAGAAGCAUGUCAUGGGCAACAGCAUGAAAUGUUUCCAUACGUCCAAGUAGAUGUUGUCAGUUGCUCUUCCCCUUUCCAUCAAUGCUCUAAGUCACAGAAGGCUACCAGAUUUGUCAGGCACAAUAUGCACUCAGUGAAGGCUGUCUGUCACCAAUCACCUCCUUAUUUUCCAUGUGCCUUAGCACAGUUUCCCAGAGGAUCUGCUUCAUGAUCUGGCCAGCCACAGAGUUGAGACUGGCCUGUCGUUCUCUGGGUCUUGUUUUUUCCCCUUUUAAAAAUGGGGUUAUGUUUCCCCUCUUCCAGUUAGUUGAGACUUCACUGGAUUGACAUGAUUUCUCUAUUGCAAGAGAUAGUGACUUAGCAACUUCAUCUACCAGUUUCCUCAGGACCUGCAGAUGUACCUCAUCAGGUUCAAUGGACUUGUGCACCUUUAGGUGCCUUAGCUGGGCUCAAACCUGAUCUACAGUUCAUCAUUCUUCCAGUCCCAGUCCCAGUCCCAGUUUGUUUUCUCAGACUUGGGCUGUGUGGCUAGAGCUCUUGUUGGUGAAGACUGAGGUAUAAAAGUCACUGAGUACCUCAGCCUUCUCCAUAUCCCAAGUAACCAGGUCUCCCAUUUCUUUCUGGAGAAGUCCCAUUAGUAUUUAAUGAUCAUUUAGUAGUAAUCAAAAUUAACUUUUUAUUGUGUCACCCUAAAUAUUUAAUUCUGACCUUACUGAGAAAAACUACGUAAGAACAAUCA
Long non-coding RNA from Anas platyrhynchos (mallard), 8514 nucleotides. RefSeq lists it as uncharacterized. NCBI's taxonomy places the organism in Eukaryota, Metazoa, Chordata, Aves, Anseriformes, Anatidae. The record is from RefSeq and is a predicted model, not a curated record.